This 781-nucleotide long non-coding RNA is filed under the name Capsicum annuum. RNAcentral's name for it is "long non-coding RNA (CANN_LNC004443)". The record is from RNAcentral. Lineage: Eukaryota; Viridiplantae; Streptophyta; Magnoliopsida; Solanales; Solanaceae.
CUCCAUCGAUGAAUAGAUAAUAGAGUCCACUUUAAUUCAAAUACAAAUUAGAACAUAUUUAUAUCCAAGAUAUUAAUAUCUUGAAACCUCCAAAUCCACGGACAAAUAUUAAAAUGCUCUGAAGGGCAAUUAAACAUACAACUCAGAUUUAAAACCACACAUAAAUAAUCAGCUCAGAUUUCAUGCUUUGAUUCAUAAUGAUAAAACUUAUGGAACGACAGUACAAAAAUGGGAUAAGAGACUUUGUAAUGAACUUAAACAAUUAUAAGAACAGAAACUUCGCCUCCAAAAGUCCAAACGAAGACCUGACCUUCACUCUUUUCUUUCUUUUUCCUCUCUUUUUUACUGCCUUUCUUUGUUUUCUUCUUCAAAGUUUUUCCUUAUAUGUCUUUUUUUGGUUUCCCAUCCGAUGUUCGGUACCCGUAUUGGAGCCCGACUAAUUCAGAUUCGUGCUGGGUAGGGCCCAUUCGGGAGGUAGCGCUCCCAACAGAGUUUUAUCCAUGCCCAAGGUCGAACCCUCGACCUCUGGUUAAGGGUGGGACAACCCCAUCUGCUGCACCACAACUCAUGUUGGUGUUUUUCCUUGUAUGUAUUUCUCUCUAUUAAUUUUUCUCUCUCAAUUUUCUUUCUGAUUCUCUCUGUCUUUUCCAAUGUCCCAAGUCUCUCUCAAUUCUCUUUCUGAUUCUCUCUGUCUUUUCCAAUGUCCCAAGUACGUAAUUCUGUUUGAUGUAAUUUGAGGGAAUGCCCUUAAAUAAAGGGCUUUUGAGGGGGAACAGUUAAG